CAUCCCUACGGGGGGCAGCAGUGAGGAAUAUUGGUCAAUGGGCUUACGCCUGGACCAGCCAAGUCGCGUGAGGGAAGACUGCCCUAUGGGUUGCAAACCUCUUUUGUCAGGGAGCAAUUGGCGCUACGUGUAGCGUUAUCGAGAGUACCUGAAGAAAAAGCAUCGGCUAACUCCGUGCCAGCAGCCGCGGUAAUACGGAGGAUGCGAGCGUUAUCCGGAUUUAUUGGGUUUAAAGGGUGCGUAGGCGGAAUGCCAAGUCAGCGGUAAAAUCGUGGGGCCCAACCCCAUCCCGCCGUUGAAACUGG
This 305-nucleotide ribosomal RNA is filed under the name uncultured bacterium. Its description in RNAcentral is "bacterial SSU rRNA". It matches the Rfam family "Bacterial small subunit ribosomal RNA", at positions 334 to 636 of the family's 1533-position model. The record is from RNAcentral.